This is a long non-coding RNA of Clupea harengus (Atlantic herring), 646 nucleotides long. The record is from Ensembl. Lineage: Eukaryota; Metazoa; Chordata; Actinopteri; Clupeiformes; Clupeidae.
GUGAGGUCUGCUAAUCUGCUAAUCUGUAGACUGAGGUUGUGGUAGAGGGGGGAAUAAGUGAGGUCUGCUAAUCUGCUAAUCUGUAGACUGAGGUUGUGGUAGGGCUAAGUGAGGUCUGCUAAUCUGCUAAUCUGUAGGCUGAGGUUGUGGUGGGGGGGGAUAAGUGAGGUCUGCUAAUCUGCUAAUCUGUAUGCUGAGGUUGUGGUAGGGGGGGGGAUAAGUGAGGUCUGCUAAUCUGCUAAUCUGUAGGCUGAGGUUGUGGUAGGGGGGGAUAAGUGAGGUCUGUCACCUACUGUACUGCCCUCAGGGCCACUUAUGAGCUCGUCAGCUCCGUCUCAUGCUUUAUUCAUACCACAAUCAUUUAACUAAGUGCACCGACUAUUUCAAUAUUUAAUGCUGUUGUAAUCGAUAUGGAACCCGGCAUUUUGCCCCAGUUUUUCAGCUUUUUUUUUUCUAAUCUCGCAAAAGUUCUGUUAUUUGAAUUAAAGGUUAAUCGAGUUGCGCAAGAGAUGGUAAUUACACAUUGAUCAAAGAUUUGCUCUCCCCAUCAUCGUUCGCAACCCACCCCACCCCACCCCACCCCCCUUCCUUUUUUUACUCAACAUCACCCUGACUGCAUGCAAGAUGGCCCCCAGCACAAACUGAC